CCUACGGGUGGCAGCAGUGGGGAAUUUUUGGCAAUGGGGGCAACCCUGACCAAGCAACGCCGCGUGGAUGAUGAAGUAUCUCGGUACGUAAAAUCCUUUCGACGGGGACGAAACCGCAAGGUUGACGGUACCCGUAGAAGAAGCCCCGGCUAACUCCGUGCCAGCAGCCGCGGUAAUACGGGGGGGGCAAGCGUUGUUCGGAAUUACUGGGCGUAAAGGGCGCGUAGGCCGCUUGUUAAGUCGGGUGUGAAAACUCUGGGCUCAACCCAGAGCCUGCAUUCGAAACUGACGAGCUAGAGUUCUGGAGGGGAAAGCGGAAUUCCUGGUGUAGCAGUGAAAUGCGUAGAUAUCAGGAGGAACACCGGUGGCGAAGGCGGCUUUCUGGACAGAAACUGACGCUGAGGCGCGAAAGCUAGGGGAGCAAACAGGAUUAGAUACCC
This 440-nucleotide ribosomal RNA is filed under the name uncultured bacterium. RNAcentral's name for it is "bacterial SSU rRNA". It matches the Rfam family "Bacterial small subunit ribosomal RNA", at positions 338 to 787 of the family's 1533-position model. The record is from RNAcentral.